This 55-nucleotide transfer RNA is filed under the name Punctodera chalcoensis. RNAcentral's name for it is "tRNA-Thr". Lineage: Eukaryota; Metazoa; Nematoda; Chromadorea; Rhabditida; Heteroderidae. The record is from RNAcentral.
AUCUUUUUAGUUUAAUUAGAAUUUUUAUUUUGUAAUUAAAAAGUAAAGAAAGAUU